RNAcentral lists this unclassified non-coding RNA (223 nucleotides) under uncultured Gemmatimonadota bacterium. RNAcentral's name for it is "uncultured Gemmatimonadetes bacterium contains 16S-23S intergenic spacer region". It matches the Rfam family "Bacterial small subunit ribosomal RNA", at positions 976 to 1196 of the family's 1533-position model. Lineage: Bacteria; Pseudomonadati; Gemmatimonadota. The record is from RNAcentral.
UAGGUUUGACAUGUAGCUGAAAGCCUCAAGAAACUGGGGCCCUUCUUCGGAACAGCUACACAGGUGCUGCAUGGCUGUCGUCAGCUCGUGUCGUGAGAUGUUGGGUUAAGUCCCGCAACGAGCGCAACCCUUGCCCCGUGUUACUAACAGGUCAUGCUGAGGACUCUCGGGGGACUGCCGGCGUCAAGCCGGAGGAAGGUGGGGAUGACGUUUACGUGCACUU